This is a non-coding RNA of Spinellus fusiger, 74 nucleotides long. The record is from the annotation of a GenBank genome assembly. Lineage: Eukaryota; Fungi; Mucoromycota; Mucoromycetes; Mucorales; Phycomycetaceae.
GCUCUGGAUAGCUCACUGGUAGAGCUGCUACUUUCAAAAGUAAUCAGUCGUGUGUUCAAUCCUCACCUAGAGUA